GCUGGCGGCGUGCUUAACACAUGCAAGUCGAACGAACCUUCGGGUUAGUGGCGGACGGGUGAGUAACGCGUGAGAAUCUGCCCUCAGGAGGGGGAUAACGGUUGGAAACGACCGCUAAUACCCCAUAUGCCUAUUGGUGAAAUGAAUUUCGCCUGAGGAUGAGCUCGCGUCUGAUUAGCUAGUUGGUGAGGUAAUGGCUCACCAAGGCUUCGAUCAGUAGCUGGUCUGAGAGGAUGAUCAGCCACACUGGGACUGAGACACGGCCCAGACUCCUACGGGAGGCAGCAGUGGGGAAUUUUCCGCAAUGGGCGAAAGCCUGACGGAGCAACGCCGCGUGAGGGACGAAGGCCUCUGGGCUGUAAACCUCUUUUCUCAAGGAAGAAGAUAUGACGGUACUUGAGGAAUAAGCCACGGCUAAUUCCGUGCCAGCAGCCGCGGUAAUACGGGAGUGGCAAGCGUUAUCCGGAAUUAUUGGGCGUAAAGCGUCCGCAGGCGGCUUUUCAAGUCUGCUGUUAAAGCGUGGAGCUUAACUCCAUCAUGGCAGUGGAAACUGAAAGGCUUGAGUAUGGUAGGGGCAGAGGGAAUUCCCGGUGUAGCGGUGAAAUGCGUAGAUAUCGGGAAGAACACCAGUGGCGAAGGCGCUCUGCUGGGCCAUUACUGACGCUCAUGGACGAAAGCCAGGGGAGCGAAAGGGAUUAGAUACCCCUGUAGUCCUGGCCGUAAACGAUGAACACUAGGUGUCGGGGGAAUCGACCCCUUCGGUGUCGUAGCUAACGCGUUAAGUGUUCCGCCUGGGGAGUACGCACGCAAGUGUGACUAAUAUAGUGAUGCG
This 832-nucleotide ribosomal RNA is filed under the name Prochlorococcus sp. SCGC AAA300-C06. Its description in RNAcentral is "SSU rRNA". It matches the Rfam family "Bacterial small subunit ribosomal RNA", at positions 35 to 917 of the family's 1533-position model. The record is from RNAcentral. Lineage: Bacteria; Bacillati; Cyanobacteriota; Cyanophyceae; Synechococcales; Prochlorococcaceae.